AGGUGAACCUGCGGAAGGAUCAUUCAUAAUAAGUGUUUUAUGGCACUUUUUAAAUCCAUAUCCACCUUGUGUGCAAUGUCAGCCGAUCUUCUUCAUGGAGAUCGGCCAAACAUCAACCUUAUUUUUUAACUCUUUGUCUGAAAAAUAUUAUGAAUAAACAAUUCAAAAUACAACUUUCAACAACGGAUCUCUUGGCUCUCG
This 201-nucleotide unclassified non-coding RNA is filed under the name uncultured fungus. Its description in RNAcentral is "partial contains 18S rRNA, ITS1 and 5.8S rRNA". The record is from RNAcentral. Lineage: Eukaryota; Fungi.